AGCUGGAGGGUCUGGCUCCAAAGUCUGCCUUCUCGGCGCAGCGACCAGGAGCGUCCACAUCACGCUGCCACCUCUGUCUCCCCGGGUCUGCAGGUGAGGGGCCUUGAGUUGAGACCGCGUCCUUCCGAGUCGUGCAAGGAUGGGCUCCUUGGCGGCUCCGGAGGCCUGUCCGCAGGCUGCGAGCCGGUGACUUGCAGCGGGGCGCGCUCUACCAUCAGGUGUGCAUGCAGCGGUGACCUUCGGGAAGUGUCCGGCUCAGAACCUGACGCCAGUGGACGCUCGAUCUGGAGACAGCCCCAGGCGGAAGAUCCUGCCCAGGACGCGGCACAUACCCGGGACCCGGGAGCCCAGAGCCUCGGCUCGGCAAUGGCGUAUCCACUUGGGCGGGGCUCGAAAUCGGCCCACCCACCUGGGGGGUUGGGGGCGUGGCUCGGAGUGGGGCUUGGG
Molecule: long non-coding RNA, 447 nt
Filed under: Capra hircus (goat)
Lineage: Eukaryota; Metazoa; Chordata; Mammalia; Artiodactyla; Bovidae
Description: lncRNA (ENSCHIG00010030463.1)
Source: RNAcentral